GGCCAGAGCUGUGCUCCUUAUUAUCCCUCUCCUGGGACGGGACGAAGCUGCCUCCCCCAGGAGGCCUUGCAGCUCCUGUGGUGGCUCACUGGUGGCUCACUGGCCGAUUUGGUGUUCCUCUGCUUCCGGUGGGACCAGCUCGGUGGCGCAGUUGGUGCUCUGCUCUGGGGCUCUCCUGGGAGGCAGGCUGAGGGGCUCUCCAGGAGAGGCCUUGUCCUCGUCCCCUGUUCUGCCCUGUCCUGCUUCCCUUCCUCUUCCUCUAGGAAGUGCUAUAGCACUCUGUUGUCCCCUGUUCCUGAAUCCCUGUCUCAGGUUGUGCUUCUUGGGACGCUUCUCUGAAGACAGAGCCUCAUCACAGGAUGAGGCCCCAGUGACCUGUGAUGGUCCAGCUUUAACCCCCUGGGAGUCACCCAGAGAGCCUGGGAACUCCGGAGAGUCAGUCUGGGGUGGAGCCCAGGAGCUGGCAUUAACAGACUCCCAGAGCUGCUGCUGCUGGUCCCAGGACCACGCCUUGAGACUGGCUGGCCUGAGCUCGUGGGUGGGUGGGCUCUCCUUGGGUCUGGGCAGGACUGACCGCCUGAGGGCAGGUGGACUAGGAGAGGUUUGGGGAAGCGAGUUUCCAUGUGGGGUUUUUGAGGUUGGGCAAGGAAGUGAAGGGGUCUGUGUGGUGGGCUGGGGAUUGGGAGGUGUGACUUCAAAGGCGGAUUCCUGAGCCCUACCCCUUGACCUGUGUCUAAGCCUCUAGAAGGGAACAGCUGUGGACAGAACUCCAAAGAGCUGUUUAUCUGGAAGUCUGUGGGAAAGAGGAGUCCCCAACACCACUCUACCAGGCACGAGAGACACAGCUGGACUCAGAAGAGAGAAGGGGGUACUGUCACGUGUGCCUGUGCACACUCUUGCACCCGCAGCAGGCACAGGUGAGCCCCUGUGUGUGCAGAUGUGCACGCACACAGAUGUGGUCACAGUUUCUUGGGUGUCUUCUGCUUUCCCGGGCAAGACAGGCCACCACCAGCAGCAGUUUCCAAUACAACAUCCAACACUCACCUGGGCCUGGAUUUGGUUGGAAACCUUCACUCCAUGGUGCAGGAACCUAUCCUUGUAAGAUGUCUCUCAUCUCCUCACUGUGGUUCCUGCCUCGCUGUCCUGCCCUGUGACGUCCUUCUGCAGCCCCUUCCUCUCUGCCCCUUCUGUGUGGGCCACGCAGAGCGGAGCCUAGCACCACCUCUGCUUUUGCUGCUCUCUUUGCCUCCGUGAGCAGGUGCUUCGUGACUGUAGGUACCCUACCUGACGGACAGGGGAUCUGAGUUCUCGCUGGAGCCUCUGCCUCUCAGCAUGCCUGGCUUGGGCUGCGCUGUGCCGUCUGCCAGCAGGUGGCAGGAUGCCCAUCCUGUUCACAUCACCGACAGGUUCCAGAACAUUCCACCCUCACUCUGUCUGAGAUGCUGCUCUAUUAGACAUUCUCUGGUUUCCUCCUCAUGGCAGUCCCGCUCCUCUCCGCUCCUCUCCCGGCCUCCGUGGUACCUGCUGGAACCAGUUCAACCCGUGUUUGCAUCUGCAGGUGUGAACGGAGCCCACCCAGCCCCUUGGCCAGGUGGAGUCCUGACCCUGGCAGCUGGAGUGGUGCUGCAGACAGGUGCCUCCCUCUGGAUGGUGACAGCAGCUCUCGCUGCAGGGAGCUGCCCUCUGGGGAGGCCCCAGCCACUGGGUGUCUCAUAGAGGGCACAAAAGGCCAGCACCUGAGGCGAGGGCACUGGGCCUGGGUUUCACCCCAGACCUCCCUGGGCAUUCCCCAGGCCCACACCCUGGCUGAGCGCCUUCCCUUGUCCUGUUCUGCCCCUGGCCUGGCCUUCCCCAGGAAGCUCUCCCUCAGUGUGUGCUGGUCUCUGAAUCCUCGCUCAGACUCCAAGGACCCCAGCAAGAUGGUGUGCCUGGAGCAAGCGGCUGUGUGUGUGUGAGUGUGACCUCCCUGAGGAGCUCUACGCACGCACGCUCCCCUUGGUUGCCACGCACUGGCAUCUGGCACCUCUCCCCGUGCCCUGCACCAACCCAGCCUACCUCUGCCAUCUGUGUCAUCUGGGGGCAGCCAUUUCUCCAGUGAUAACAGGUUGCCUCGUCCUCGGUGAGACACAGACAAGACCUCAGUGGGCGUCCUUGUACGUGGCCCCUGGGCCUGGAGUGACAGUCCAGAGUGGAACCUAAAUCAGGGCUGCGUGAGUUCUGGGGCGGCUCCCUCCUUCACAGGCCCCGCCCCCUCUGUAUCCCCUCCCAAGCCCCACCCUGAGGUUGGUUUUCCACCACGGUUCUGCUCUUUUCUCCACACCAGCAGCUUUCAGCAUCUCUGUGUGUACUUGCUGGCUGCUGCCCCUUUUGCUAACCACUUACUGUUUUUUUUUUUUAAAUAAUUUACAAAACUUCUUUGUUUAUUCUAGACAUUGAUCCCUUGUUGUUUUAUACAGUGAAAAUAACUUCUUAGAGUGGACCAUCUGUCUCCUUUCCUUGUUUAUGGCUUCCUUCAUUGAGGGGAAAUCCUUAAGAGUGACUGCCGUAUGCUCUCACUGUCACAUGGGGAUUCUGAUGAAAUAGCUUAUUUAUAUUUUGCUUGGCUUUUGUCACAGUCCCCCAAUCAGGACACAGGCAUGAGUCCCCAGGGGGCUGUGUCAAAGGACAAAAUCAUGCUGCCCUUUUUACUGACCCAUAAGACCCUACUUCUGCACCCUGGGCAGCUCUUCUGUGAUCUUGAUUCUCUUCUGAGCUUUCCAGGCCCUCCUGCGCUGUGAGCACGGAUGGGUCCUCCCCCUGAACCCUGGAGGCCCCUUCGUUAGCCUGCUGAGCUGGCCCGGCACCGCAGCGAGAGCAGCGGAGGGCCAAGCACUGGCAGCCCACCUCACAGGGACUUCUGGGCUUCCAGUGUCUCAGUACGUCCCCAGUCAGGCUCGCUGCUCUUAAGUGAGCAAACGACAUGGGAGCUAAUGCCCAGAUGGACGGACACUGUGCUGUAUGGCAGAUCUGUUUCCUGAGGGCCAAGAAGCAGAGUUGAUUUAGUGGGUCCUUUGGAGGUCCCUGGGGGUUUACAUUGGGGAACUGGCCCUCCACGUUGGCUGUUUGUGUUCCAAGGAGGGAGAAUUGAAGGAUGGCCUUGGUUUCCCACGAGGAUGACUGUGAGGAGCCCACAGAGUGGUUUCUCAAGGUGGUGGGCGCAGAUCCCCGACUGGCAUUGCCACCAAGCCUGGCAUCUCUCAGCCUGGACUGCUGCCUGGAUGAGACUCUGCGGGCUUUUUCUGUAGAGCCAGAGUGUAAACACUUCAGGUUUUGCUGGUCAUCUGCUCUCUGCCACAACUCCUCUACUCGGCCAGCAUAGUGCAAAAUCAGCCAGAAACAGUGUGUGCAUGGGCCAGGUUUCAAUAAAGCUUUAUUGAUACAAACAGACCAGAUUCGGUCUGUGGGUUACAGAUGGCCAAACCCUGACCUCUGUUGACCCCUGUGCGUAUGGUGGGGCCAUGUGCUGCUACUUUCAAAGGGGUUUUGAUGUUCCCUAGUUGCUUUGGAAUGGCUUGAGGAAGACUGAGAUCACAAAAACUAGGUGUAGCAGGAUUCCAAUAAUAUCUGUGACAUAAGGAUUCUAUCUAAUACAUAAUGGAGAACCCAGGGCAAGAUUUAAAGUGGGAAGGGGUGUGGGAAGCUUCCCAGAGUGGAAUUAGUUUUGAUUCAGACCAGCCUGGGCCCAUAGCCCAGGGCUGGCUCCACCGUCACCAACUCAGGUAAGAUUUUCAUCACUUCCAGUUGGGCCUAGUUGGUCAGAGGGCACAGAAGCUGUUCCUAUGUCUCCAGGGUCUUUACGGACACCAGUGUGAAUGAGAGAGGGUCGAACACUAGACCAGAGGGUCAGUGACUUGUGGCCACAGGUCCAAUUCAGUCCACUCCUAUUUGUGUAAGUAGGUUUAUUUGGAACACAGCUGUUCCAAAACAAAAAAACCAAAAAACUCAUGUCAUGCCAACAAAAUACCCAAGAUUGGGUGAUUUAUAAAACCAAAAAUUCAUUUAUCAUAGAAAUUCAAGGAGCCAGUACUGGGCAUCUGAUGAGGGUCUCCUGUUGCCUGCUAUGUGAAGGAGAAGGUGGACAGGCGGGGACAGGCCCUGCAUCCUCACAUGGCUCUUAGAGAAGGGCCAGCUGGUCCAACGAUGCAGGGAGCCUUUUAUAAGUCCUACCCAUGAGGAGGGCCUGGUGGCCCAGUCACCCACAGAGGCCCCACCCCUGCUAUCAUCACACUGGCAGCUCUUGAUGUUUGGAGGGGACUCACAGCAACAGCGAUGGCCCUCUGUUCGUGCACUGCCUCUAGAUGCCUUUGGUGGCACUGGCAGGGUGGAGCAGUUGUGCAGACACAGCACGGUCCUCAAAGCCUACAGUGUUUGCUGUGCAACCUUUUGCAGAAACAUUUGAUGACCCUGCUUCAGAGCCCUAGGGAAGGAAGGGGUGUCAUCUGCUUAGGGAGUGUCCCACUUCACCUUUGCACCCUCCUCCUUUUUGCUGCCUGGAAAAUAAGUGUCACCUGGAACAUUAGUGUAAUUACUGAUUUCUAGCAACCUACAGUAAGGAGAGGGAAAAAAGAGGUAGGACUGGAAAGAGCCCGAAUCUCUGAGGAUUGUGCAAUUUCCCUCCUCUGUGAGACUUUUAAAAAAAUCCCACCAUCUUGCUUAUGUCGUUGUGUGGGAUUUCUGUUACUUGCAGUUGAACUGAAUCCUAACAUACCCUCCUUCCACCAAGGUGACAUCCUUGGAGUAACAGAAGGUGGAGCAGUGGGUGUGAAGGAGGUGCAGAAGAGCCACCUCCUCCCUGCCUUGCUGCAAGUUGGAAGGGCCACACCGCAGAUCCAGGGACCAGAAAGCACAGGAUGUGGCAUCCACCACAGCAGCCUAGUGCUGAGCUCUACCAGAGCCAAAGCCUCCGUGCAAGUCGCCCCUCUUUUGGGUUCAGUCAGUCAGUUCUAGUUAAAGAAUUUCUUGAGAAGCCUUACCAGCAACUUCUGCUUUACCUUGUUAUGAGUUGGACUGUAUGUCCCCGAAAAAGCUAUGCAGAUGUCCCAGUCCCCCAGUGUCUCAGAAAUAGGGCCAAGGCAGGUGUGUGUAGUUAAGGGAGGUCACCCUGAUGUAGGGAUAGACCUGAUCUAGUGUGACCAGUGUUCUUACGAGAAGGCAGCCAUGUGAAGACAGAGACACCCUAAAGCACCACACCCCAGUGGGGAUGGACAGGAGUGGGGUGCUGCCAGCUAGGAAAUGCCAAAGACAGCUGGCCACCAACAGCAGCUGGAAGAGACAGGGAGCGUCCCCACACAGGUCCACCAGGGACCACGGCCUGCCAACGCAUUGGUCAGGGACUUCCAGCCUCCAGAACCACAAGACAGUACAAUUCUGUGUUUUAAGCCACAACAUUGUUAUGGGUCCCUAUGAGUCACCCCAGGGGCCACGUGCAUCACAGGGAGACCGAGGAGUGUCAUUUCCGCCCAUCUCUGCGGUAUGGUGGAACAGGAGGUGGGUGGGGCAGGGCAGCCUCUGCUGCCGAUGUUCUGGGGCACCUGUGCCCUGAGAAAUGGCUGGCAAGGGUCGAUUUUACUGUGGUCUUUCCCUUUAGGACAGACGUUAUUCUCAUCCUUUUGCAAGUCAUGAACCCUGAGUUUACUUCCAGGCCUUCCUCAUAUCUAUUGUGUUUCAUGAAAAAGAGGGCGGACCCUAACCUUUCAUGCCUCAUGUUCAUAGCCUUCAAAUGACUCUCAGUUGCCCAGGAGGGACACCGCCUUAGCUCCCCAGGGAUGCCGACAGGCUACCCGAGGCAUUGAGCUCAAGGAUGGUUUCUAUAAGUCGGGCAUCAGAGGCAGCAGAGAAGACCCUCCUGCAGCUCAUCUCAACUGAGAUGGACAAUGAGAUGUGAUGACAUCACCUGUUGGGCUGAUGAUUAUGACUGAUUCAAGUAGAUGUCAGUUUUGUCCUCUAGAAAUUCAAGCCCUGAAGAAAAGCAACACUUACAGAGAGGGAAGGGGUAGGUUGACAUCUACAUAAAUAUUGACAGAAAAGGAAAACAGUGAGAAACACGGUCUCACAGAAAAGAGGAGACAGAAGGCAGCCCAUUGGAGUGGAGAUUCCCAAGUAAACCCCAACAUCCACAGAGUGUACCCACAGCAGAUAUGGCUGCUAGCUAAUUAUCUUGACAAUGAGGAAAGGCCUCUUCCCAAGGCUCUUGAUGGAUGAUGUGCUGUUUUUCCAAAUGCUAGCUAUGACUGACCCGGUCCUUGAAUCAGAGAACAAGCCUUCAACCAAAGAAGCUGUUGGAAGAGGAGGGACCCAGACCAGCCCCUCGGGGCUGCUCAAAGACACACUGUCUGCAUAGUACUGAGGGUUGAACCCAGGGCUUUGCGAAUGCCCGGCAAGUGCUCUGCUCCUCGGCUGCAUCCCAGGCCUAGAUUUUCGUACUGAGGGGAAUGUGCAACCUGGAGUCCCAGUUUUGAGGCAGACCUGGCUGUUCAUGAUCUUCAGCUACAGACUCAGCACAGAGUGCCCGCAGUGCCCCUUGAGGUGUGUCAAGGACGGCUUCAGUUCCUCAGCGAGGAUUUCCAUGGGGGCAGGAAUGUUUGUCUGGUCCUCAGUUACCUAAGACAUAUGAAGGGAGUUUCUGGAGUGGGAUAAACUGAGGGUGGGAGUGGACCUACCCUGAGGAAAACAUCUUUGUUUCAAGGAGAGAUUCUGCAAGAAAGGGAAGAAGAGAACCUCCCCGGACCCCGACAGGUCAUGGCCACCAUGCCCCAUACUUCACAAGCACUUUCUCACGUGAAUCCUUGCAGCAGUCCUUAUAAAAUAGGUAUGAUUCCCAUGGGUUGGUGGAGAAGACUCAGAGAAGAUAAGUGUCUUAUGACUGUCAACCAAGAAUAAGAUCAGUCUCGUCAACAGCAAAGAGUAUCACAUUCAUUUGGGUCUAAUUAGGAUUGCAGUCUGGGAAAACACAGAUUCAAGCAAUUUUGAAAAGAUCCUCCAAGAUUUUACAAAACAGUGGCUGUAUUUGCAGCUUUAAACCUCAAGGGGGUUCUGAGGUUAUGUCACUUGUUGGUCAGGAGCUAUGAUUGUAUGGAUUAAGCUGUCUUUAAAGAAAGGGAUUGUGUGUGCUCUCAGUUGCUGUGUGGUCUGGGGAAAAGCUCCUUGUACAGAAGGUCAGCAGAAGUUAAUACACAAUGUUUCAGAAAACUGCUCUUUGGUCCAGUUUGAAGAUCUGUGAAUAACACAUGUGUAUAUGUGUGCCUGGAACACAGCUCAAAGGUCAGCUGCAGACAUUGUCCUAGACCAGAUUUAACAAAUGCCUUAUAACUCUAUUUUAAGUGCCCCGAACCAUUGCUACUCCAUUUUGAUUUUCUUUUGUGCCAUUUUUCCAUUACUGUGUCAAAAUACCUGAGAUAAUAAACUUAAAAGGAGGAAAGUUUUA
This is a non-coding RNA of Ictidomys tridecemlineatus (thirteen-lined ground squirrel), 7462 nucleotides long. Lineage: Eukaryota; Metazoa; Chordata; Mammalia; Rodentia; Sciuridae. The record is from RefSeq and is a predicted model, not a curated record.